This 208-nucleotide long non-coding RNA is filed under the name Ricinus communis (castor bean). RNAcentral describes it as "long non-coding RNA (RCOM_LNC000037)". Lineage: Eukaryota; Viridiplantae; Streptophyta; Magnoliopsida; Malpighiales; Euphorbiaceae. The record is from RNAcentral.
UUUUCUCUUUUCCCCAAACAGAAAGUGGACAAGUUUUAGUAUGGAAACAUCAUCAAAAUUGUUUUGCAUGACAACUGAGUCCAAUUUCACUAAUUACAAAGCAAACAUUAUACUGGUACUCAAUUGUCUUAUAUAGCAUGAAGUCUUCCAUAAUCCUGAUAGCGGUGAUUGCCUUCCUCCUUGUCUGGUCCCAUAUGAUGUGAGCUGU